RNAcentral lists this ribosomal RNA (911 nucleotides) under Bacillus sp. SENDO6. Its description in RNAcentral is "partial 16S ribosomal RNA". The stretch from base 3 to 529 matches the Rfam family "Bacterial small subunit ribosomal RNA", at positions 30 to 543 of the family's 1533-position model. Lineage: Bacteria; Bacillati; Bacillota; Bacilli; Caryophanales; Bacillaceae. The record is from RNAcentral.
CACGAACGCUGGCGGCGUGCCUAAUACAUGCAAGUCGAGCGGACAGAAGGGAGCUUGCUCCCGGAUGUUAGCGGCGGACGGGUGAGUAACACGUGGGUAACCUGCCUGUAAGACUGGGAUAACUCCGGGAAACCGGAGCUAAUACCGGAUAGUUCCUUGAACCGCAUGGUUCAAGGAUGAAAGACGGUUUCGGCUGUCACUUACAGAUGGACCCGCGGCGCAUUAGCUAGUUGGUGGGGUAAUGGCUCACCAAGGCGACGAUGCGUAGCCGACCUGAGAGGGUGAUCGGCCACACUGGGACUGAGACACGGCCCAGACUCCUACGGGAGGCAGCAGUAGGGAAUCUUCCGCAAUGGACGAAAGUCUGACGGAGCAACGCCGCGUGAGUGAUGAAGGUUUUCGGAUCGUAAAGCUCUGUUGUUAGGGAAGACAAGUGCGAGAGAACUGCUCGCACCUUGACGGUACCUAACCAGAAAGCCACGUUUAAAUACGGCCAACAGCCGCUGUAAUACCUAGGGGGCAAGCGUUGCCCGGAAUUUUUGGCCGAAAAGGUUUCCAAGGCGUUUUUUUUAAAGUUUGGUGGGAAACCCCCCCGCCUCCAACCGGGGGGGGGUUAUUUGGGAAACUUGGGAAAAUUUUGGGGGGCGAGGAAGGGGGUGGAGGGGGUUUUCCCCCUUGGGGGGCGGAAAAAAUGGCCAAAAAGUUUGCGGAAAAAACCCCUGUGAGGGGGAAAGGGGACCCUUUUUUGGUUUAUAAACUCAGCCUUUAGAGACCCGAACCCCGCGGCGGGGGCGAAAAAGGGUUUGAAAAAGCCCUUGGGAGGCCCCUCCCCCCGAAAAAAAAAAAGGGGGUUUAAAAGUUUAAAAGGGGUUUUGCCCCCCUUUUAGGGGGGGGGGGGCAAAACCAAAUAA